CAACAGAGGAGGAGUGCAGCGGCCCAGGGCCAGAACAACCAGAGUAGCAUGACCAAAGAACUACAGACUCUUCACAACCUGCUCAAACUCUUGGUACAGGACCUCACCACACGGGUCAAGAAGGUUUCUGUCUCAUUUCUACUCUGAAGCUCACCUUCUGCUCAAACUGCUGACAAAUGUUUCUGCUGCUCUAAAGUCUGGUCUCCAGAACUUCCUAAAAACUCUCAAAGUCUCUUCUGCUGCAGGUUGCUUUGUAGAACUGUUCCAGAAAACCUCACUAAACUACAUGGAGGGGCCUCAAGAUAGUCGUCCAAAUGAAACCAUACAAAAACCAAACUAGCACAACCCAAACACUAAAGUCUCCUGCAGCCUACCAGAGAAGCUCUGAGAACAGAGAAUCAGGACAGGAACUCUUACCUUCUGGACAACCAACGUUGGUUCUCAAACAAGAAUACAGAAUGUGUCUGACCAAAAACCUCUAAAGACUCACUACAGCCAAGAUAAAGACACAACUCAGCUGCAUCAAAUCCACUAAUCACUGCACACAUUAGCACCAUGUGCUAACUGUGGCUAAAGAACCACAUUUACCAAGACAACUAUCCAGUACAAAGCCCUAAAACACACCAAGAAACACAUUAAAGACGAUUUUACUGCUGGAAGCUGCAAGCCAACGCCUAAAGAACAAACUAAAGCAACGGAACCAAACCCGGUUCUGUGGUGAAGAGAAACAGAGGAAAUGUUUGUCUGCAGCUAAAUAAAGCAGGAAGACACUGAGCUGCUCAGGUGUUCCUGAUAACACCAAGCAGCCACCUGGACAGCCAAUAGGAACACAGCUUCCUGGAAGUCCAGAGGGCUGGCUUAGUGAAGGAAAUUUAGUUUAAAGUUGAAGCAGAAAGUUAACAAAGAAAGUUGAAAACCACCUUCUGAUCCCUGAAAUCUCUGAGUUUUCACACAAAGAACACCUGAACAUGUCAAACCGGUUCCAUAGUAGAACCAUCAUUGUAAAAACAUCAUAGUAUGGUGUGUUGCUCAAAAUACAUUAGGACCCGACUGUCUAGGGUCGC
Amphiprion ocellaris (clown anemonefish) is the source of this 1064-nucleotide long non-coding RNA. The record is from Ensembl. NCBI's taxonomy places the organism in Eukaryota, Metazoa, Chordata, Actinopteri, Pomacentridae.